RNAcentral lists this unclassified non-coding RNA (393 nucleotides) under soil metagenome. RNAcentral describes it as "partial contains 5.8S ribosomal RNA, internal transcribed spacer 2, and large subunit ribosomal RNA". The stretch from base 1 to 120 matches the Rfam family "5.8S ribosomal RNA", at positions 35 to 154 of the family's 154-position model. The record is from RNAcentral.
GAUGAAGAACGUAGCGAAAUGCGAUAAGUAAUGUGAAUUGCAGAAUUCAGUGAAUCAUCGAAUCUUUGAACGCACCUUGCGCCUUUUGGUAUUCCGAAAGGCACACCUGUUUGAGCGUCAUGAAUACCUCAAUCUCCAUCUUUUCUUCGGAUUGAUGGGUGACUUGGAUGUUGAGCCCUGCUGGUAUGCUAUAUCAGCUGGCUUUAAACUUAUUAGCCGGCUCUGUACUGGAUCGGUUUGACUCGACGUGAUAAUAUUAUCGUUGAGGAUGCAUGUCUCAUGCAGCCGGAAAGUAUCAAAGCAGCUUCUAGCUUGCCUUUAGUGCACUUUUACAUUUUAGACCUCAGAUCAGGUGGGACUACCCGCUGAACUUAAGCAUAUCAUAGCGGAGGA